CGGUGUUUAACUGGCGUGAUGUGGGACGUCCUACCGGUGGGCUUAGCCUCGCGAGGGGCGGCCCAACUAAUAUCCCGUCGCGGUGCUCUUUACUGAGUGUCGAGUCGGGCCGGUACGUUUACUUUGAACAAAUUAGAGUGCUUAAAGCAGGCUAUCCUCGCCUGAAUACUGCGUGCAUGGAAUAAUGGAAUAGGACCUCAGUUCUAUUUUGUUGGUUUUCGGAACCCCGAGGUAAUGAUUAAUAGGGACAGAUGGGGGCAUUCGUAUUGCGACGUUAGAGGUGAAAUUCUUGGAUCGUCGCAAGACGGACAGAAGCGAAAGCAUUUGCCAAAAAUGUUUUCAUUAAUCAAGAACGAAAGUUAGAGGUUCGAAGGCGAUCAGAUACCGCCCUAGUUCUAACCAUAAACGAUGCCAGCUAGCGAUCCGCCGAAGUUCCUCCGAUGACUCGGGCGGGCAGCUUCCGGGAAACCAAAGCUUUUGGGUUCCGGGGGAAGUAUGGUUGCAAAGCUGAAACUUAAAGGAAUUGACGGAAGGGCACCACCAGGAGUGGAGCCUGCGGCUUAAUUUGACUCAACACGGGAAACCUCACCAGGCCCAGACACCGGAAGGAUUGACAGAUUGAUAGCUCUUUCUUGAUUCGGUGGGUGGUGGUGCAUGGCCGUUCUUAGUUGGUGGAGCGAUUUGUCUGGUUAAUUCCGAUAACGAACGAGACUCUAGCCUGCUAAAUAGGCGUACCUUAUGGUAUCGCGAAGGCCCCCGGCUUCGGCCGGUGGGUUUUUACUACCAACGUACAAACAAAUCUUCUUAGAGGGACAGGCGG
RNAcentral lists this ribosomal RNA (820 nucleotides) under uncultured eukaryote. Its description in RNAcentral is "SSU rRNA". It matches the Rfam family "Eukaryotic small subunit ribosomal RNA", at positions 629 to 1426 of the family's 1831-position model. The record is from RNAcentral.